RNAcentral lists this ribosomal RNA (253 nucleotides) under uncultured bacterium. RNAcentral describes it as "partial 16S ribosomal RNA". It matches the Rfam family "Bacterial small subunit ribosomal RNA", at positions 524 to 776 of the family's 1533-position model. The record is from RNAcentral.
UACGUAGGGGGCAAGCGUUGUCCGGAGUUACUGGGCGUAAAGCGCACGCAGGCGGUCUCUUAAGUUUGGAGUGACAGUUGGUGGCUUAACUGCCAAAGUGCUUCGAAAACUGAGAGACUUGAGGGCUUCAGAGGGACACGGAAUUCCGGGUGGAGUGGUGAAAUGCGUAGAGGUCCGGAGGAACACCAAAGGCGAAGGCAGUGUCCUGGGGAGUACCUGACGCUCAGGUGCGAAAGCCAGGGGAGCGAACGGG